GACGAACGCUGGCGGCGUGCCUAACACAUGCAAGUCGAGCGGAGAAUGCAAGAUGUUUACAUUGAGUAUUCUUAGCGGCGGACGGGUGAGUAACACGUGGGUAACCUGCCUCAGAGUGGGGGAUAGCCUUUCGAAAGGAAGAUUAAUACCGCAUAAGCUUGUAGCAUCGCAUGGUGCAGCAAGAAAAGGAGCAAUCCGCUCUGAGAUGGACCCGCGGCGCAUUAGCUAGUUGGUGAGGUAACGGCUCACCAAGGCCACGAUGCGUAGCCGACCUGAGAGGGUGAUCGGCCACAUUGGAACUGAGACACGGUCCAGACUCCUACGGGAGGCAGCAGUGGGGAAUAUUGCACAAUGGACGAAAGUCUGAUGCAGCAACGCCGCGUGGAGGAUGACACAUUUCGGUGCGUAAACUCCUUUUAUAUAAGAAGAUAAUGACGGUAUUAUAUGAAUAAGCACCGGCUAACUCCGUGCCAGCAGCCGCGGUAAUACGGGGGGUGCAAGCGUUACUCGGAAUCACUGGGCGUAAAGAGCAUGUAGGCGGAUUAAUAAGUUUGAAGUGAAAUCCUAUAGCUUAACUAUAGAACUGCUUUGAAAACUGUUGAUCUAGAAUGUGGGAGAGGUAGAUGGAAUUUCUGGUGUAGGGGUAAAAUCCGUAGAGAUCAGAAGGAAUACCGAUUGCGAAGGCGAUUUACUGGAACACAAUUGACGCUGAGAUGCGAAAGCGUGGGGAGCAAACAGGAUUAGAUACCCUGGUAGUCCACGCCCUAAACGAUGUACACUAGUUGUUGUGAGACUAGAUCUUGCAGUAAUGCAGUUAACACAUUAAGUGUACCGCCUGGGGAGUACGGUCGCAAGAUUAAAACUCAAAGGAAUAGACGGGGACCCGCACAAGCGGUGGAGCAUGUGGUUUAAUUCGACGAUACACGAAGAACCUUACCUGGACUUGACAUAGUAAGAACUUUCUAGAGAUAGAUUGGUGUCUGCUUGCAGAAACUUAUAUACAGGUGCUGCACGGCUGUCGUCAGCUCGUGUCGUGAGAUGUUGGGUUAAGUCCCGCAACGAGCGCAACCCUCGUGUUUAGUUGCUAACAGUUCGGCUGAGAACUCUAAACAGACUGCCUACGCAAGUAGGAGGAAGGUGAGGACGACGUCAAGUCAUCAUGGCCCUUACGUCCAGGGCUACACACGUGCUACAAUGGGAUAUACAAAGAGCGGCAAUACGGUGACGUGGAGCAAAUCUUAUAAAAUAUCUCCCAGUUCGGAUUGUAGUCUGCAACUCGACUACAUGAAGUUGGAAUCGCUAGUAAUCGUAGAUCAGCUAUGCUACGGUGAAUACGUUCCCGGGUCUUGUACUCACCGCCCGUCACACCAUGGGAGUCGAACUCAUUCGAAGCGGGGAUGCUAAAGUAGCUACCUUCCACAGUGGAUUUGGCGACUGGGGUG
This 1442-nucleotide ribosomal RNA is filed under the name uncultured bacterium. RNAcentral's name for it is "bacterial SSU rRNA". It matches the Rfam family "Bacterial small subunit ribosomal RNA". The record is from RNAcentral.